This 310-nucleotide transfer-messenger RNA is filed under the name Planctomycetales bacterium. Its description in RNAcentral is "partial transfer-messenger RNA". It matches the Rfam family "transfer-messenger RNA", at positions 62 to 374 of the family's 374-position model. Rfam says of the family: Bacterial tmRNA, also known as 10Sa RNA or SsrA, is named for its dual tRNA and mRNA-like properties. Its role is to liberate the mRNA from a stalled ribosome. Lineage: Bacteria; Pseudomonadati; Planctomycetota; Planctomycetia; Planctomycetales. The record is from RNAcentral.
GGCCACGUAAAAAGCUGAUCAAACAUUUUAAUUGCAGAUGAAAAUCUCCAAUUGGCUGCCUAAUUACAGGCAUCCCGGACUGAUGGGGGCCGCCAGAGUCGCCUGAAAGUCCGUCACAAUUCUGGAUCGCCCGCCGUCCUACUCGAGACGCGGCGGGUUAAACAAGAUUCGAGUUAGCGAGCCACGUAGUCGGUCCAGCAGCGCCGUGGUAAGCGAAACGAGCCUUCGGCUCAUAACCGCAGGACUACACACGUAGACGCCGUCGUGGACGCAUCGCGGGACGAGGGUUCAAUUCCCUCCGCCUCCACUC